UACGGAGGGUGCAAGCGUUAAUCGGAAUUACUGGGCGUAAAGCGCGCGUGGCGGUUUUUUAAGUCGGAUGUGAAAGCCCCGGGCUCAACCUGGGAACUGCGUCCGAUACUGGAAGACUAGAAUGCGGGAGAGGGAGGUAGAAUUCCAUGUGUAGCNGUGAAAUGCGUAGAUAUAUGGAGGAAUACCAGUGGCGAAGGCGGCNUCCUGGNNCGACAUUGACGCUGAGGUGCGAAAGCGUGGGGAGCAAACGGG
This 252-nucleotide ribosomal RNA is filed under the name uncultured bacterium. Its description in RNAcentral is "partial 16S ribosomal RNA". It matches the Rfam family "Bacterial small subunit ribosomal RNA", at positions 524 to 776 of the family's 1533-position model. The record is from RNAcentral.